CCAGUUGGCCGGACGACCGCUGCCCCGCAGAGGAAAGUCCGGGCUCCACGGAAAAACGGCGCCGGAUAACGUCCGGCGGGGGCGACCCCAGGGAAAGCGCCACAGAAAGCAAACCGCCGCCGGCCCGCCGGCGGUAAGGGUGAAAGGGUGCGGUAAGAGCGCACCGCGGAUGCGGCGACGCAGACGGCAUGGCAAGCCCCGCCGGGAGCAAAACCAAAUAGGGGCGACGUGCGCGCAAGCGCGGGCUUUUCCGGCCAGAUCGCCCGGGUUGGUUGCUUGAGGCGGCCGGUAACGGUCGUCCCAGAGGAAUGGUCGUCACGUCCUGCGCCGCUUGCGGCGCGGGGCCUUACAGAACCCGGCUUACAGGCUGACUGGCGCU
This 379-nucleotide RNase P RNA is filed under the name Camelimonas lactis. RNAcentral's name for it is "Bacterial RNase P class A". It matches the Rfam family "Bacterial RNase P class A". Rfam says of the family: Ribonuclease P (RNase P) is a ubiquitous endoribonuclease, found in archaea, bacteria and eukarya as well as chloroplasts and mitochondria. Its best characterised activity is the generation of mature 5'-ends of tRNAs by cleaving the 5'-leader elements of precursor-tRNAs. Cellular RNase Ps are ribonucleoproteins. The record is from Rfam by way of RNAcentral. Lineage: Bacteria; Pseudomonadati; Pseudomonadota; Alphaproteobacteria; Hyphomicrobiales; Chelatococcaceae.